RNAcentral lists this ribosomal RNA (497 nucleotides) under uncultured bacterium. RNAcentral describes it as "partial 16S ribosomal RNA". It matches the Rfam family "Bacterial small subunit ribosomal RNA", at positions 28 to 507 of the family's 1533-position model. The record is from RNAcentral.
GAUGAACGCUGGCGGCGUGCCUAAUACAUGCAAGUCGAGCGAACAGACGAGGAGCUUGCUCCUCUGACGUUAGCGGCGGACGGGUGAGUAACACGUGGAUAACCUACCUAUAAGACUGGGAUAACUUCGGGAAACCGGAGCUAAUACCGGAUAAUAUAUUGAACCGCAUGGUUCAAUAGUGAAAGACGGUUUUGCUGUCACUUAUAGAUGGAUCCGCGCGGCAUUAGCUAGUUGGUAAGGUAACGGCUUACCUAGGCGACGAUGCGUAGCCGACCUGAGAGGGUGAUCGGCCACACUGGAACUGAGACACGGUCCAGACUCCUACGGGAGGCAGCAGUAGGGAAUCUUCCGCAAUGGGCGAAAGCCUGACGGAGCAACGCCGCGUGAGUGAUGAAGGUCUUCGGAUCGUAAAACUCUGUUAUUAGGGAAGAACAAAUGUGUAAGUAACUAUGCACGUCUUGACGGUACCUAAUCAGAAAGCCACGGCUAACUACGUG